GGCGAUGUGACCGAAUGGAAGGUGGAAGCUUGCAACGCUUCUUAUGGUGGUUCGAAUCCACCCAUCGCCU
RNAcentral lists this transfer RNA (70 nucleotides) under Fodinibius salsisoli. RNAcentral describes it as "tRNA-Cys". It matches the Rfam family "tRNA". From Rfam's summary of the family: Transfer RNA (tRNA) molecules are approximately 80 nucleotides in length. Their secondary structure includes four short double-helical elements and three loops (D, anti-codon, and T loops). The record is from RNAcentral. Lineage: Bacteria; Pseudomonadati; Balneolota; Balneolia; Balneolales; Balneolaceae.